This 254-nucleotide ribosomal RNA is filed under the name uncultured bacterium. RNAcentral's name for it is "partial 16S ribosomal RNA". It matches the Rfam family "Bacterial small subunit ribosomal RNA", at positions 524 to 776 of the family's 1533-position model. The record is from RNAcentral.
UACGUAGGGUGCAAGCGUUGUCCGUGAAUUAUUGGGCGUAAAGAGCUCGUAGGCGGUCUGUCGCGUCUGCUGUGAAAACCUAGGGCUUAACUCUGGGCGUGCAGUGGGUACGGGCAGGCUAGAGUGCGGUAGGGGAGACUGGAAUUCCUGGUGUAGCGGUGAAAUGCGCAGAUAUCAGGAGGAACACCGGUGGCGAAGGCGGGUCUCUGGGCCGUAACUGACGCUGAGGAGCGAAAGCAUGGGGAGCGAACAGG